This is a long non-coding RNA of Capra hircus (goat), 718 nucleotides long. RefSeq lists it as uncharacterized. The record is from RefSeq and is a predicted model, not a curated record. The transcript has 3 exons. NCBI's taxonomy places the organism in Eukaryota, Metazoa, Chordata, Mammalia, Artiodactyla, Bovidae.
CCGUGGCUUUCGUGUUCUGGCGUCCUUCUGGGCCCUUAGAUCACUGCUGGGCAGGAGGAAUGGGGAAGGGCAAAGCGGGAAGCUCAUGCCUGCUUACUUUGCCUCCUUAAUUCAAGAAAGUGUCCUUGGAAGUCCCCAAGUGGACUUUACAUUGGCCAAAACAGGGUUCCAUGGCUACCUCUCGUGGCAAGAGAGUCUGGGAGCUGCAAACAUCUUGGCUGGUCCCCAAAUCACCAGUGCACCUUGUCUUACAAACUCCUCGAAGCCAUUUGAUUCCUGCUUCCCUUGCGCUUCUGCACUGUGGAAAUUAUGAGAUGUAUAUCCUGAGGUUCCCCAGGGAAACAGGCAGAGUUCCAGAAGUUUCCUCUACCAAGUAGAGGACACUUGAAUGUCAAGGACUCUCCCUCCAUUCUAAGCUGUUUUCUGCAGAAGUCAGGAUUACCAGACCAAGGUGAGGCACUGUUCAAAUAUGUCUGUUCUUCCUGGGGAUCGGAUGUCACCUGAAGCAAUUCCAGAGGGCAAGCUUCCUUGCAGGAGUGGCGCCAGGUGCUAAAGACUCUUCCUGCCCCUUCCACAGUUGAUAAGGUGAGCUGCCGGGUCCUCGAGGUGCAUGCUCGUCAUUGUAGGUCAGCCCUACAGGUGCAGGAGGCCUCUGGGGACAGCAAAUCCCAAUCCCAUCACAGGUCCCUUCCAAAUAGGGGAGUCUGAGUCCUCUGUA